RNAcentral lists this ribosomal RNA (91 nucleotides) under Sphingomonadales bacterium RIFCSPLOWO2_12_FULL_63_15. RNAcentral describes it as "partial 16S ribosomal RNA". It matches the Rfam family "Bacterial small subunit ribosomal RNA", at positions 1 to 99 of the family's 1533-position model. Lineage: Bacteria; Pseudomonadati; Pseudomonadota; Alphaproteobacteria; Sphingomonadales. The record is from RNAcentral.
AUCAAACUUGAGAGUUUGAUCCUGGCUCAGAACGAACGCUGGCGGCAUGCCUAAUACAUGCAAGUCGAACGAUCCUUUCGGGGAUAGUGGC